Molecule: long non-coding RNA, 4826 nt
Organism: Bombina bombina (fire-bellied toad)
Lineage: Eukaryota; Metazoa; Chordata; Amphibia; Anura; Bombinatoridae
Exons: 2
Source: RefSeq, a predicted model, not a curated record
AUUGAAAAGAUACGCACCCCUUCUUCACCCAGAGCAGAAUCUUUCCCCACUGAACCUGAUGAUCUGCUAGAAGAAGCUACUGGAUCUCAGCGCCCUAAAAAUCUCAUGCAAACACUUUUGGAUGAUUACGAGACCCAUAAAAGCAAGAGGCGGGAGAAAAUGGAUGAUUCAAGUGUCCUUGAAGCAGUACGAGUGAACCGCAGGAAAAGUGCUCUUGCUUUGCGCUGGGAAGCAGGAAUAUACGCCAAUCGAGAAGAAGAUGAAUAAAGACUUUUCAAAUUCAAUAUCCAAAAAAAAACAUAAAAAGGAAUCAUUUAAUCCCAUAUUUAUUGAACAUUCAGCAGCCUCUGCAAUUCAUAUAGAGAUAAUGCAGGCCGUAUUUGUAAGACAGUGAAUAACGCAAAACGACCACAGCCCAAGACCAGAAAAGCUUUGGACUCUCAGGAAAUGAAAAUGUUGUCUUUGGCAUUGACAGAUGAUGUGGGCCCUAAACCCUGGGGCUAUGCUUGACGAUCCCCCAAAGCCAAACACUCAAAGUGCAAGUGCUUCCUGCUCCAGUACACAGCUUGUCCUGCUCUAUAGAAACAUUUUGCCUCUAACAUGGAUGUUAUAUCUGAAGUAGGAGCCUUCAAACAGAUCUUGUGCACAGGUCUGCAGCUUUGUCUUCCUGUACAGCACAAUAUAAAAUUAGCCUAGUCCUUCAUUUAGAUAGCCAUACUAUAAUAUUUUGGGUUUGCUGAUGAGGGCUGUGAUUUUUUUUGGUAAAUAAGAACCAUAUAUAUUUACAUACAAUCUUUUAACCCUUUGAGUGCCAGUGAGAAUUGCACUGGUAACUGAGAGGUUAAACUGUUAAUGCUUAGAUAUAUGGAUAUUUGAUACUACAAAUUCUGGAACGAUGCCUAGUCAAUAUGGCCGUCUCCAGAAUGGGGUGGCAUCUAACAGUUAACUGUACAGCCAUAUGCGACUGCAAUCCUGUAACUUUAACUAUUUAAAGCACAAUUACAUAAAUAUAUAGAUAGAUAUAUAUACCAUUUGUGGCUCUCAGGGAGGAAAGGAUAACGAUGGUAUUGCUUUUCCAUUUUUAAUUCAAUCUAUUCUUAUCAUAAAGCACAUGGUGUUUCCCUGCAAAUGGUUGCAUAUAUAGGUUGUCUGUAAAAAGAAAUAUACAGUGAGGAAGGCAGUCAAUAUUUAGGGAACAGAACUGACUUUUUAAAGACACCGAACAAUUGGUAGAAAACUGUUUAAAUAUGGACGUGAUAUUCCCAAUUUAUUCCUUAAAUGUUUGGGAAAAUAUAUUUUUUGAGGGAAUCACCCUUUUUCUCUUAUGUUAUCCGAAAUAUUGUUAAAUAGAUUUUAUCAUUUUGUAAUAGCAAUACAAAUGUUUAAAUGGCAAUAAAGUUGCAAGUGAUUCAUAUGUUGAAGAUGUACCUCAGCUUGGCAUCUCUCAAAUUUAUAAUUUUUACAUUGGCCAAACUCUAGAAAAUGUUAAAAAAUGGCUAAAAGAAAUAUCUUAUAUUUUGGAAUUGCAUUUUAUUGUUACAAUUGAAGUAAAACAUUAUCGGUAUUGUCACUUUUAUGCCCUUUUUAGCUUACAGCAAAUGAAUGAUUUACAUACUAACUUUAAUGAUAAAUUUGUGACAAAGAAUCACAUUUCUAUGGUGGAUAGUUUAGCUCACACCUAUUUAUUUUCCCAUGCAUUACAUGUAUUAAGACAUAGUUUAUUGUAAGCUGUGUAUUUUGUGUUACUGAGGGCAAUGCAUUAAAUUUCCUGUUAUGUUUAAAAGGGAAUUCCCAUCCCAGUCACACUGUUGUGACUAGUUCAUUACUUAGCAGAAAAGAAUGAGUAGCCAAACGGUAUUGCCAAGCUGAUUUGGUCAUCGAAUGUUUCUAAACUGUGCGUGUUGUGAAACGGUUUUUAGACUGAAGUGAAGAAGGAACUGCAUAGUGUAGAUAUACAAGGAUUUUCCAACCACUUGCAUAUCUUACAGUUGAAAGAGAAAGUGCCACUUUUUUUUAUGAAAAGAGAUAUUAAAGGUAUUGAUUUAUUACAGUAUUUCUAAGGACUGAUCCCACAAAGUAUUUUUAUGAGCCACAAAUGGAAAGGUGGGGAACAAUUUUAGAAAAUAUUCUUGAUUAUUUAUUCUUUUGCUUUUUAUCACAUGAAUAUGUAGUGUAGAGGUUGUUUUCAUGCUUGUCACUUAAAGAAAUAGAUAACUAUUUAGUAAUGACAGUUUCUGGAGUAGAAAAUGGCUGCUACUAUAGCCCCUUUUUUUCUUUUAAGACUUCAAAUUCUAAAUGUUGUUCUCCAUAAAAUGAUUAAUUGCGAGUAAUUAAAUCAUUUUGUGACCUGCUUCAUUUUUUAUUUUGCCUGCUUUUUCUGUAAUAACUCCCGAAAAUUGCAGUGUUUCCACUCCCCCUACAAAGGUUGGAAUGCAUUCUCAUUUGCAUAUGUCCCUAAUUGGCUACAGCAAGGGAAGGAAGAUAAACAGCAUUCAAAAGACUUUUCUAGGGGUGUGCCCAAGUCCAGAAAAACAGAGAUAGAUAUAGCAACUGUAGAUAGGUGUUUAUUUCCCAGCCCUGUUAAUGAUUAUAGUGAGUGGAUACGUGCUUCCUUAAAGGGAUAUGAAACCCAAAAACUUUAUUUUGUGAUUCAGACACAGCAUAACAUUUUUAAAAAAAAUCCACUUUAAUUCUAUUAUCAAAUUUGCUGCAUUUCCAUGAUAUUCAGUGUUGAAGAGAUACCUAGCUAGACAUCUGAAGCACUACAUGUCAGGAAAUAGUGUUUCCAUCUAAUGCUCUUGCAAAACUGCUGCCAGAAAUGGGCAGACUCCUAAGCAUACGUCCCAGCUUUUUAAAAAAAAGAUACCAAGAAAAACCAGAAGAAAACUUAAUAAUAGUACAUUAGAAAGUUGCUUAAAAUUGCACGCUCUAUUUGAAUCAGGAUAGAAAAAAUGUGGGUUUCAUAUCCCUUUAAUAUAAGCCACAUAAUAUCACGCUAUUUUGCUAACAUACAACCUGAAACUGUUAACCUAAACCAGAAACCCUACUCUGAAGCAGCAGUUACUGUAUUUUGGCCUUUGUGUCUGGGGCUCGUGGCUUAAAAAGACAUAAAUAUUGUGUGCAACUGGUACAAAACAUGCAAGACUUGUGUAUCACAGCACAAGUAAUAAAGUGCUGCUGCUUAACACACUUGUAUUUUAGUUACUUGCUAUCACUCACUGAAUGCACAUGAAGUCAUCAUAAUAAUAGAACUUCUAUUGGAAAGAUUUGCAUUGUGUUUAAUAUCUUUUUUUAAUGAGAUUGUCCCCUAGUGGCCAGAAUUGAGUUGUGCUGCAUUCAUUGGAUAUAUAUGUACCCUGACAACAUUAGGCAAAAAUAAAGGCCAACGGUGACUAACAAGUUAGAGAGCCAAUUGUCUAAAGGUCUCUGGUGAGAUUAUGUAACAAGUCUUAUCAGUACUGUGAGGUCCUCACACAAUUUUAGGAAGGCACAUUUUUAACUUGAGAGCUGUUUAUCUCACUGUGGGCCUGACCACCAGUAGGGAGAGAAAAUACACAAAAUCUGGUGGUUUUAUGAGCAUUGUAUUGUAAUAUGUGCAUCACUUCUUCACAUCCAAAUCUCUACAUAGCAAGUUAAGCAGCUCUUGAUUUAAAAUUCAGAACAUACAUUUCAAAAUAAUGCUGAGAAAACAGCAAUGAUUUUUCAUGAUUUCUCUCCAUGCCAGUGAGUUUAUACAAAUAACCAAUUUACUUUUGUUGGCAAAUUUGCUUCAUUCUGUUGGUAUCCUUUGUUGAAGGAGUAGAAGUGCACUAAUUUGAGCUAACUGAACACAUCAGGUGAUCCAACGUCAAGAGGCAUAUUUGUGCAGCCACCAAUCAGCAGCUAGCUUCCAGUAUUUUAUUGCUGAUCCAUAGCCUACCUAGAUAUGCUUUUUUCAACAAUGGAUAGCAAGAUAACUAAGCAAAAUAGAUAAGUAAGUUAGAAAGUUAUUUAAAAUUGUAUGCUGUAUCUGAAUUGAAAUACAAAUGCAUUUUGGGUUUUAUGUCUUCUUAAUGUUUUCUCUAAGGUGCCUUUGUGAGAACAGAACACCAACAGCAUUUCCCAGAUUUGACAUCUAUCCCACCUGCUUACAACUGUUUUUUAUUUUAUUAAUAAAUAUAUAUAUAUAUAUAUAUAUAUACACAAACAUUUAUUACAUAAUAAAUAAUUUACAGGCAUCUUACAUAUCAUGGGAGAGGGAUCUGGAUUUAUUUUGAGAGCCACAUGCACAAUUUUUAAAGUGCAAUAUAUAAAAGCUGUAGUUAUACAGUACCAAUUUCUACUCCAGAAAUCAUAUACAACAAUUUGAUAAAUAAAAAAAAGUGCAAAUGUUGGAUCAGUUUUUACACCAAAUGUGUAUAUAUAGAACAACAAAAAGAAACACUACUGCAAAUAAAUGCUUGUUUUUGUGACUAUUUUGUGUAACUUUACUUGCAGGAAGACUGGCUUUAAGCAGUGUGUGUGAUACCAAAAAUAGACCCUUUUAAUUUGUGAACUUUUUACUUUUUUUUGCAAAGGAGAAUUAUUCUGAAAUAGUUUUGCAGCAAGCUGCCAAUUCACCCCUUACCUAUUUUCUCAGUGCAAAGAAAGUAAUUUAAUAGCUUAUUACAAAAAUAAAAUGGUGGCUGUGUUUUAAUGGCAUAUGAACCAAUUAUAUUGUACUUGGCUUUAUGUAUAUGUUAACCACUUAUAUGUUGUUCUGGCUUUUGUUUUAUAGUGAUUGUGAGGCAUACAAUGCAAGUUUAUAAUUAUUUUCUCAUUAAAACACAAACCAAAGUUGUAUUGUU